RNAcentral lists this ribosomal RNA (1786 nucleotides) under Durio zibethinus. RNAcentral describes it as "SSU rRNA". It matches the Rfam family "Eukaryotic small subunit ribosomal RNA". The record is from RNAcentral. Lineage: Eukaryota; Viridiplantae; Streptophyta; Magnoliopsida; Malvales; Malvaceae.
CCUGGUUGAUCCUUUCAGUUGCCACAUGCUUGUCUUAAAGAUUAAGCCAUGCAUGUGUAAGUAUGAACUAAUUCAGACUAUGAAAUUACAAAUGGCUCAUGAAAUCAGUUAUAGUUUAUUUGAUGGUAUCUAUUACUUAGAUAACCAUAGUAAUUGUAGUGCUAAUACAUACAACAAACCCUAACUUCUGGAAAGGAUGCAUUUAUUAGAUAAAAGGUCAAUGCGGGCUUUACCUAUUGCCUUAAUGAUUCAUGAUAACUUGACGGAUCACAUAGACUUUGUGUCGGUGAUGCAUCAUUCAAAUUUCUACCUUAUCAACUUUCGAUGUUAGGAUAGUUGCCUACUAUGGUGGUAAUGGAUGACAAAGAGUUAGGGUUCGAUUACAGAGAAAGAGCUUAAAAAACGGCUAUGAAAUCCUAGGAAGGCAGCAAGCACACAAAUUACCCAAUCAUGACAUGGAGAGAUAGUGACAAUAAAUAACAAUAUUAGGCUCAUGAGUUUGGCAAUUGGAAUGGUAAAAUCUAAAUCCAUUAACGAGGAUCCAUUGGAAGGCAAUUCUAGUCCAACAGUCAAAAUAAUUCCAGCUCUAAUAGCGUAUAUUUAAGUUGUUGUAGUUAAAAAGCUUGUAGUUGGGCCUAGGGUUGGUUCGCUCAGUUCAUUCAUGGUGAGCACUGGUCUACUUGUCCCUGCUAUUGGCAAUGUACUUUUGGCCUUAACUAUCCAGGUCAUUCCUUCACACUAUUACUUUGAAGAAAUUAGAGUGCUCUAAAAAUGCCUACGCUUGUAUACAUUAGCAUGGGAUAACAUCAUAGGAUUUCAUUCCUAUGGUGUUAGCCUUUGGGAUCAAAGUAAUGAUUAACAGAGACAGUCAGGGGCAUUCAUAUUCUUAGUCAGAGGUGAAAUUCUUGGAUUUAUGAAAGAUGAACAACUAUGAAGGCAUUUGCUAAGGAUGUUUUCAUUAAUCAAGAACAAAAGUUGAAGGCUCAAAGAUGAUCGAAUACCAUAUUAGUCUCAACCAUAAAUGAUAUUGAUAGGGAUCGAUGGAUGUUACUUUUAGGACUCUAUCAGCACAUUAUGAGAAUCAAAUUCUUUAGGUUCUAAAGGCAGUAUGGUCACAAGUUUGAAACUUAAAGAAAUUGAUGGAAGGGCACCACCAGGAGUGGAGCCUGCGGCUUAAUUGCACUCAACAUGGGGAAACUUACCAAGUCCAAACAUAGUAAGGAUUGACAAACUAAAAGCUCUUUCUUGAUUCUAUGGGUGGUGGUACAUGGUCGUUCUUAGUUGGUGGAGCAAUUUGUCUGGUUAGUUCCAUUAACGAAUAAGACCUCAGCCUACUAACUAGCUACAUAAAGGUGAUCCUUAGCUAGCAUCUUAUUAGGACUAUGGCUACUUAGGCAAAGAAAGUUUAAGGCAAUAAAGGUCUAUUACGCCCUUAGAUGCUUUGGGUCGCAUGCACGCUGAACAAAUGUAUUCAAUGAGUCUAUAGCCUUGGCUAACAAGCUCAGGUAAUCUUUGAAAUUUCAUCAUGAUGGGUGUAGAUCAUUGCAAUUGUUGGUCUUCAAUAAGGAAUUCCUAGUAAGCAUGAGUCAUCAACUUACAUUGAUUAUAUCAUUAUCCUUUGUACACAUUGUUCAUUGCUCUUAUUAAUUGAAUGGUCCAGUAAAGUGUUUGGAUUAUGGCAAAGUGGACAGUUCACUACCUGUGACAUUGUGAAAAGUCUACUAAACCUUAUCAUUUAAAGGAAGGAGAAGUCAUAACAAGGUUUCCAAAGGCAAACCUGGAGAAG